GAAACGGCCAGCAUCUUCCGGGUGGUGGCUCA
Molecule: non-coding RNA, 32 nt
Filed under: Syntrophotalea carbinolica DSM 2380
Lineage: Bacteria; Pseudomonadati; Thermodesulfobacteriota; Desulfuromonadia; Desulfuromonadales; Syntrophotaleaceae
Source: RNAcentral